AUGACUCCCAGCACCGAAGCUGACCACGACCACGACGCCGAGCCCGGCACCCGGGAACCUGUUCCGGACGUGCCGCUCCCAACCAUGACUCCCAGCACCGAGGAGGCUGACCACGACCACGACCACGACCCCGACCCCGACCACGACCAAGACGCCGAGCCCGGCACCCGGGUACCUGUUCCGGACGUGCCGCUCCCAACCAUGACUCCCAGCACCGAGGAGGCUGACCACGACCACGACCACGACCCCGACCCCGACCACGACGCCGAGCCCGGCACCCGGGAACCUGUUCCGGACGUGCCGCUCCCAACCAUGACUCCCAGCACCGAGGAGGCUGACCACGACCACGACCACGACCACGACCACGACCACGACCACGACGCCGAGCCCGGCACCCGGGAACCUGUUCCGGACGUGCCGCUCCCAACCAUGACUCCCAGCACCGAGGAGGCUGACCACGACCACGACCACGACCACGACCACGACCACGACGCCGAGCCCGGCACCCGGGAACCUGUUCCGGACGUGCCGCUCCCAACCAUGACUCCCAGCACCGAGGAGGCUGACCACGACCACGACCACGACCACGACCACGACCACGACGCCGAGCCCGGCACCCGGGAACCUGUUCCGGACGUGCCGCUCCCAACCAUGACUCCCAGCACCGAGGAGGCUGACCACGACCACGACCACGACCACGACCACGACCACGACGCCGAGCCCGGCACCCGGGAACCUGUUCCGGACGUGCCGCUCCCAACCAUGACUCCCAGCACCGAGGCUGACCACGACCACGACCACGACCACGACCACGACCACGGUAGGGGCCCGUGUGCCUUGUGUCCUCUGCCCCUGGGAGCCCGCUGGGUUGCCGGGGCUCCUUGAGCGAGAACGGGCUUUCCUAUUGCCUCCGGGACCGGGAAGGUGUCGCCAUGCGAUUCCUUGUCCCGAAACGCUGGCCUGUGCUCUGGAGCUGCGGGGACGUCCUCGGGGCUCUGCCCGGGAAGGAUGUGCUCCCUGGGGAGAGAGGGGCCGCGGUGCGAGUCCGGCGCUCCGAGACGGGGCCGUGUGUCCUCCCGGGUUCUCUGGUUGGCUGCACGCUGCCUGGGCCUGUCCGCAGGUUGUCCGUUGCUCUGCGUGGUGGUCUCCUAACCCGUGCGGGAGGGGCGUAGGCUUCCCCGCCCCCCACGUCUGCUCCCGCCAUGACCCCGGGGGUCUGGUGCAGCACUCCCGGCCCGCAUGCCUGGCGUUGCCACGGAGGCUGCGAGUGCAGAAGCCUCAUGGGACCCGGCGUGGAGUGCCCCACUGCCCCUGGUGGCCCAGUGUGCGCAGCGGACUUAGGCGCGGGCACGCUGGGCUCCGCGAGGGUGGUGCUCUGUGCCUCUGCCUCUCCUGAGACGUCCUUGCCUUCCUCUUGGCGUUGGCUGGUCUCCGAGCUCCCGGGACAGCGUCCAGGAGGCGUGGCCGCUGCCUGAGGACAAGUCCUCGAUGUGCCCUCUGACGCUGGCACGAGCGUGUUCUGGACCCGGGCCGUGCCCCCAGGCAGCUGGGGAGUUGUCUGCCUUGUAGUGCGGCGGGCCACCAGGAGAAUCUGACCCAGUGUCCUGGAUGGGCCAGUUCCCAGUCGUGCGCUCGUGGCCCAGACCAGACCCGGGCUGGUGUGUGGAGCCAGCCACGCGGGCCCGUCUGUCCUGCGUGCCCUGAGUGGGCGCAGAUGAGAGAGGGCGCGGUUGCUCCGUCCGCUUUUCUCCCCUCUCGCCCCCACGCGGGGAGCCGUCCAGCGGGGCCUGGCUGGACUGAGCCCGUGCCGGACACGGUGCUCCGUUGCCGUCCUGGAGGGCCCAGAGGAUUGCUCGAGGUGUGCCCACCAGGCCCCUCCCCUGAG
This is a long non-coding RNA of Oryctolagus cuniculus (rabbit), 1885 nucleotides long. NCBI's taxonomy places the organism in Eukaryota, Metazoa, Chordata, Mammalia, Lagomorpha, Leporidae. The record is from Ensembl.